Molecule: ribosomal RNA, 621 nt
Filed under: Escherichia coli
Lineage: Bacteria; Pseudomonadati; Pseudomonadota; Gammaproteobacteria; Enterobacterales; Enterobacteriaceae
Description: partial 23S ribosomal RNA
Rfam family: Bacterial large subunit ribosomal RNA
Source: RNAcentral
UGGUCGGACAUCAGGAGGUUAGUGCAAUGGCAUAAGCCAGCUUGACUGCGAGCGUGACGGCGCGAGCAGGUGCGAAAGCAGGUCAUAGUGAUCCGGUGGUUCUGAAUGGAAGGGCCAUCGCUCAACGGAUAAAAGGUACUCCGGGGAUAACAGGCUGAUACCGCCCAAGAGUUCAUAUCGACGGCGGUGUUUGGCACCUCGAUGUCGGCUCAUCACAUCCUGGGGCUGAAGUAGGUCCCAAGGGUAUGGCUGUUCGCCAUUUAAAGUGGUACGCGAGCUGGGUUUAGAACGUCGUGAGACAGUUCGGUCCCUAUCUGCCGUGGGCGCUGGAGAAUUGAGGGGGGCUGCUCCUAGUACGAGAGGACCGGAGUGGACGCAUCACUGGUGUUCGGGUUGUCAUGCCAAUGGCACUGCCCGGUAGCUAAAUGCGGAAGAGAUAAGUGCUGAAAGCAUCUAAGCACGAAACUUGCCCCGAGAUGAGUUCUCCCUGACCCUUUAAGGGUCCUGAAGGAACGUUGAAGACGACGACGUUGAUAGGCCGGGUGUGUAAGCGCAGCGAUGCGUUGAGCUAACCGGUACUAAUGAACCGUGAGGCUUAACCUUACAACGCCGAAGGUGUUU